This is a long non-coding RNA of Rhineura floridana, 778 nucleotides long. RefSeq lists it as uncharacterized. The transcript is spliced from 3 exons. The record is from RefSeq and is a predicted model, not a curated record. NCBI's taxonomy places the organism in Eukaryota, Metazoa, Chordata, Lepidosauria, Squamata, Rhineuridae.
GGGAGAAGAAGCACUUUCGAAGCGGCUGUUAAUUAUGAACUGAUAGUUCAACAUUUGCUCAAACAGGCAGGUUUCGGUAAACGAUCGUACGAUUCUAAGAGGAGGAGCUCUUCCGGAACAAAUCCUUCUUGCCUCGAAGUCCAACGCUCCAAGGUAUUCACAGUUUAUUUUACUUGAUGCAGAAAUGGAGGUAUCUGACACAAGAAACAAGAAGAACCAAAGACUGUGUUGUGCAUUGCCACACCACCAUGUUACAGGAAUAACACGCUCAGCAGACCCCUAGUUUGGACCAAAUACCUGAAGAUGCUUUUUAUUCUGUAACUUUUGAAAGUACUUUUCCAACAUUAAGUCCACAGAGUAUUGGUUGUUCAGCAACCAACCUACCAUGCAAAUUGUAGAAGUCCCUGCUUUGGGAACAAUAGCUGGCUCAAGACAUUUUCCUGCAUAAGACAAAGGACAAGAUGUCUCCCUCCCCCCAUUCCUAACUGGCAAUGGGACAGCAUCCACCCAUUGGACCUGAGGUCAGCAGGAUAGCUUAGGAGUUGCAAGCUCCUGGGGUUGGAUUUGUCACUUCUGACUCCCCACAUACACAUCAGUAUCAUCUACCUAAGACAGCCACCUCACUGUGCCUAAUGGCAGGGCUGGCCUUAUCUGAGUGGGCUGUACAUGUGGGCCCCUCCCUCACUUUCUGCCAUUUUGCCAAGCCAUUUUUUUCUACAAACUGGCACUUGACCUGCUCAGCAGAGGAGUUUUAGCGAUUACCUCUUAAACUGUUUUA